GAUGAACGCUGGCGGCGUGCCUAAUACAUGCAAGUCGAGCGAACAGACGAGGAGCUUGCUCCUCUGACGUUAGCGGCGGACGGGUGAGUAACACGUGGAUAACCUACCUAUAAGACUGGGAUAACUUCGGGAAACCGGAGCUAAUACCGGAUAAUAUAUUGAACCGCAUGGUUCAAUAGUGAAAGACGGUUUUGCUGUCACUUAUAGAUGGAUCCGCGCCGCAUUAGCUAGUUGGUAAGGUAACGGCUUACCAAGGCAACGAUGCGUAGCCGACCUGAGAGGGUGAUCAGCCACACUGGAACUGAGACACGGUCCAGACUCCUACGGGAGGCAGCAGUAGGGAAUCUUCCGCAAUAGGCGAAAGCCUGACGGAGCAACGCCGCGUGAGUGAUGAAGGUCUUCGGAUCGUAAAACUCUGUUAUUAGGGAAGAACAAAUGUGUAAGUAACUAUGCACGUCUUGACGGUACCUAAUCAGAAAGCCACGGCUAACUACGUG
RNAcentral lists this ribosomal RNA (497 nucleotides) under uncultured bacterium. Its description in RNAcentral is "partial 16S ribosomal RNA". It matches the Rfam family "Bacterial small subunit ribosomal RNA", at positions 28 to 507 of the family's 1533-position model. The record is from RNAcentral.